CGCAUGCGUCAGGGUCGCGCAUGCGCACGCGCACGCGCCUGGGCGCCGGCCCAGAGUGGGACUGAGGCUCAGGCGCCGGUGUUUUGAUUAGUUGUAGCAGUCUGUGUGGAUGCUGUUGGAAUUUCUCAGUAGACAGUUACUUACUCUCUAGCUAUUGCCAUUUGCUUUUGCUUUUGAACAUUUAUUUCAUUUUAUGGGCUCACCUGAUACUGGGCAUCCUCAGUCGUUUUUUGAUUAAGGAUUAUGCUGUGCUCCUAGAAGGAGAUAGGACUCUGUUUCUGGAACAUUUGGUACAACUCACCCAUAAAUCUACUUUGGUUUGGUGCCUUUUUCACUGGAUGGUGAAGGGUUAUGGAAAAUAAUUUUCCUACAAAAUAGCCCCCAAGGAAAAGCGGAGAGACUGUGCAGCUCCAGAGGAGGGAGGGGAAACUAGGCAAGCAUUAGCUUUCCACUUCCCAGCCACCAUGAGUUGAGCAGCUUUAUUCCCCACACCUUCCCUGCCAUGAUGUUCUACCUCACCACAGGCCUAGAAUCCAAGGAGCCAGCCAUUCAUGAACUGACAUCUCAGAAGCCAUGAGCCAAAAAUAGAUCUUUCUUUAAAUUCUUUUUUCAAGGUAUUUUGCAAUAGUAACGAAAUGCUGACUAACAAGCAUAGAGAGAAGGGAGGGCAUCUAUAUGCCAGGAAGAGGACCCGCAUCAGACAUGUAAUUGAUCAGAACCUUGAUCUUGGACUUCUAGGCUCCAGAUUGUGAGAAGAUAAAAUUUUGUUGUUUAAGCCACCCAUUCAUUAUAUGAUGUUUUGUUAUGGCAACGUGAUAGAGUAUAUUUCUCAUAGUCAACUUACAAAAUUGUUAAACUUUGAUAGAACUUGUUUUGGUUAUCCAUUGCUGUAUAACAUACUGUCCCCAAACGUGGUGGGUUAAAACAAUUACAACUAUUUUGUUCAUGUCUCAGAGGGUGAGUGAUGUCUGUUCCACUUGGCAGCAGCUGGGGAAGCUUGAAGACUGGUGUUUGGAACUAUCCAGGAGGUCAUUUACUCACAUGUCCAGCAGUGGAGGGUGGUUGUCAGCUGGGAUCUCUGCUGGGGCUAUGGCUGGAAAAUCAUUCGUGACUUUCCAAAUGGUUGUUGGCUGCUUCUCAGUAUGGGGGCUGGGUUCCAAGGGAGAGUGUCCCAAGAGGAUGGGAGGAAGCUCUGUUGCUUUUUAUGAUGUGGCCUCAGAGGUCACAUGAGAUCUCUCCCCACCAGAGCCAUACACACAUCUGGGUUUAAGGAGAGAAAACAAACCCACCUCUUAAUAGAGGCAUACUAAUCUCCAGAACUUAUUCAUAGUCUCUAACUGAAACUUUGUACCCUCUGACCUGGUUUCAUUUUUAAGAACAUGAGUUAGAUCAGAAUUCAUCUCUUUCUAGCUCUGUGACCUUAAUUUCCUUAAACUAUCAUUUUCUCAUUGGUAAAAUGAAUUUUACGACAGCAGCCAUCUCAGAGUAGUUCUAGGGAUUAAAUAAAAUAUUCAUAGUUAAAAUUUUGGCAUAUAGUAAGCACUAAUGAGUGUUACCCACUUUUGGUGUUAUUAUUGUUUUAAUAAUUAUUAUUGGCAUGCUAGGUUGAUAAAAGAAAACUAUAUACCUUAUAAUAAGCCCUAACUAGACAUUAUCAUUGACUCUAGUAGCUGUAAGUGUCAGCAAUUUAAUGAAGAACCAAUUGUCGUGAAACUUAAAUUAUUCACAUCUGGAUCUAGUUUCUUUUUAUAACAAAGUUGAGGUUUUUUCCAAGUCUGUUUGCUAUAAUCACAAGAUUUGAUUUAAGAGUUAUAAGGGCCAUUGACUCUGACUGUGCCAAAUAAUGUAUCCUAUGUGCCUGCCACUGUUUCUUGGUUCAAGAAAAUUAUAUUUAUUAGGAUGUGUAUAUUGAUUAAACUUCCUAUCAAGCCUUGUGAUGUAAUACUUUGCUCUAAUUCUGACUUGAACUUGUGACUCCACUAAAAUAUCAGAGGGCUUUGUCUCCCCUGGUAUUUUGUAACUAGCUUAAUUAUUCUCAGUGAUUUAACUGACAAAUAUAAAUGCAAGACUUUUCCAUCACUAGAAAUGUACCUUUUACUCAUACAUUGCUGGUGGGACUGCAAGUUGGUGCAACCACUAUGGAUGGAAAGCAGUAAGGAGAUUCUUC
Ictidomys tridecemlineatus (thirteen-lined ground squirrel) is the source of this 2167-nucleotide non-coding RNA. The record is from RefSeq and is a predicted model, not a curated record. NCBI's taxonomy places the organism in Eukaryota, Metazoa, Chordata, Mammalia, Rodentia, Sciuridae.